Polyodon spathula (Mississippi paddlefish) is the source of this 3837-nucleotide long non-coding RNA. RefSeq lists it as uncharacterized. The transcript is spliced from 3 exons. Lineage: Eukaryota; Metazoa; Chordata; Actinopteri; Acipenseriformes; Polyodontidae. The record is from RefSeq and is a predicted model, not a curated record.
AGUGCCUAUUAUUAUUAACAUUGAAACACAACCAGUAUUUAUAAGGGCUGCAUCAGUUUUUUUGUUGAACUAUUCUCUUAGACAAGGUGAUUUUAUGAAGAGGAUUAGGUGUAGCUUCUAGGUUGGGGUUCAGUAGUUUCUUAUGCUAUAUACGCAUGUUUCUAUCUUUACUAUCCACUUAGGUGUGUGUUAUUGAACGCUCCUUUGCUUCUGGGUUGGGGUUCAAUAGUUUGUUAUGCUAUAUAUGCAUUUUCCUAUCUUUACUGUCCAGUUAGGUGUGUUUUAUUGAAUUUUCUUUUGAUCAUAUCAUUGUUUAGCAGGCUUACUGACUAGCAUCCCUUUACAGUGGCUGCUUUUGAAAAACAGAGUUUGUGCAACUGUAAUAGUGCAACAGAAAUUACAGCUGCACACCCCUAGUGGUCAUUUUUCAAACUGCCUCUCCAGAAAUGCAGCCUUUUAGGAGUCCUAAUGAAGCAGACCCAGUGGUUGAAAACAGAGAUGUUUAACGCUUUGCUGAAACAGUUAGAAAGCCUGGAUCUCUAUGAAUAUUUAGCUUUCAAUUACAUUACAAAGAAAAUGCAUUGUAGGUCAGCGCAGGAUCCAGCAUUUAAAUUGUAACAAAGUCAUGAAGAAGCUCAAGGCUGAAGUGAAUGCUGCAGAAUAAUGCAGCUGAUGGAAUUGUGUGGAAUGUACUGGUUGAAAACAUUACUGUGACUCACAGGUAACCCUUUCAUGCAUGCAAUAUUGAAAAUAGCUGGACACAUAAUAAAUAUAUGUUUCAAUGUAAAUGUUGUCAAUGGCUUUAUAUUGAGAAGAAUUGCCUCCUCAUAUGAGGUCAUCAUGCAUUUGCGUCUUCCAUGUAAAGACUAGAAUAGUAUUUGUAUCUGUCCCAAUUUGAGGUCACCCUGCAUGAAAGGGUUAAAAAGGCUUAGGGAUGCAAGUGCACUUUGCAAGAUGCAAAGUGUUAGCUCCAUGUAUGGGAAAUCCCAUUUUUUGGUGUCUCUGCAGCACUGUGUAUGAUUGUCUGUAAAUAACCUGUUCAUGAAGGACAAUACAUACACGAGAUUAAAAUAACUGGGUGAGAAAAAGCAUGGCAGGACCAUUGCAGCUUCCUGGAGGGAGGCAACUGUAACUCGGGAUUCAAUUAGGCACUGGGUUUCAAUUAGGGUUAGGGUACUUGAAAUGCAUAAUCUGUUUACAGUGUAAAAUUGCUUAUUUUUCGUCAUUUCCAAUAUGCAACAAGUAAACUGGAUAUCGAUUAAAUACCAGCUGAUAGUCGCACAACAGCAAGCAGUAUUGAAAAAAACCUCCCAUGCCUGCUUCAUGCAGGAAUAAGAUCAUUCAAACUGCAGGAGAUGAGUCAGUCUGUGCGAUCUCCAGGGACUGCAGAGGAGAGUGUGUGGGCUCUUAAUCAGACAUGAUGUCAUUGAAGUUUGUAUACUUGGACAUUGUCAUAUCUUUGCUUUGCCAGCUGUUAAAACACUCAUCUGGUCCUCCUGUGGGCAGGCCAUAGCCAUUGGUGCAUAAGCCUUUUGAUGUCAGAUGCGGUGUCACCAUUCUAUACAAGCUGAUUAUUCCUCCUCUCCUGAUUCGCUGAGGACCACUCAAUGACACUGCUGGUGAAUGUUCUGGAACCCCUCAGCACCUCUUAUCUAAUCCAUUGUCUCCGCCUAGCUGCAUGAUGCUCAUGAAACAGGGAUACCAAACUGGGUAGCUAGCAGCUUUGUGCAGCUUAGUGUUUGGUAGGCAAUGCUGCAACAUUGUCUGGAACAGUUCAACUGAACCAAACUGAGCAGGGCUUGCAUGGAUGGAAACGAGACUCCCAUUUCAAAACAUUUAGAGCCAAUGUUCCGGGUUGUGAGCUAAAACAGACACACCAUUGCUUUUUAGAUAGAAAUGGUUGCUAUUAAACUCAAGUGCAGGGCAAGUCAUGCAAUCAGGGGUCCGCUGGUUUGAAUUCUGGCCAAGCUGAGUAGCCAAUCUUUGCUAGGGGCUCAUUACACGUGCUGCAUUAGCCUUUGAGCCCCUGUGAAUUAGGGAGAAAGAUUAAAACCAUAUUACCAUUUCAUUUUUGUCUCAUGAGAUGAAAUUCUGAUGCUUUAGGUUAUGAAAAAUAUAUAGAGAAUUAAUUUACUUUACAAAUCCAAGAAGACUUGAGGUCUGAAUGAGUUUAAAAGUCACCUUUUCCUUUCAGAAUGAGAGCUCUUUAUGCCCAGAGACCCAGACAGAUAAGAAAAGCCUGGCAUGUUAAUGCAGCCUCAUUAAUGAAACACUAACCAUGCAUUUCAAACCAAUCCAUCAGCACACUAUAGCACAUGCUUCACAUUUCUCUUCCAACAGUUGUGGUACUCUGUCUGCCAAAGUUGUGGCUUUUGUUUUUCAAGGAGAUUUUAACCAGUUCUAAAAGGCGACCUUUUCCUCCUUUCCAGUGCUUUUCCCAAAUGUAGCUGAGCUGGCCAGUCUGGGCAAGGUGUAGCUAAAGAUGGUUGUCUGCAUUCCAGUGUCAUUUUACCCGUGUUCUUUCAAUUAAUAGCCAAGGCAAUGUGAUAUAAACCGAGGGAGCAACCAGAGAACUGCAACACAAACUUACAACGGAUGAGGAUGGGAAAAAAUAAUCAUGGAGGCACAAAUGACACCAGACUGGAGUAAAAUAUAAGUUGACAACUACAGGUCAACCAAAAAUAGAUUUCCACUAAACCGGGGUCCUGGAGGAACUGGGCACAGCAGCAGCUGAGCCGCCCCGCUGCAGAAGGACGAGCGCUCUGUAGAGGAGAGGCAUGGGGCCACUACAGAGAGAGGGCAUCGCAAGGGCUUUCACUUUCAACUUUCCUGCAAGACUUACUGUCCUAAAGCCCUUGGAAAAAUGUACCACAAGCAGGUUGUCUGCUGCACUUCACACUGGAGCGUGGUUCUGUUCCACUCUGGCAUCCAGUGAGUAGUGCUGAGACUGCAAGCAAGUUGUCUUCCAGGCUGCUGUCCAGGGUGCUGAAAUUGUCAAUCCUGUGUGGGAUCCCAACAUGAUCUCCCAGGAGGUGAGAUCAAGAGCGAUCCUCUGGAGCCCUGAAGCUGAACUUCAUUUACUGCACCUGACUAAAGGGCUGUUCUACUUGUAAUGACUUGCUAAAACAAACCCUGCUGAAAUUGAUUUAAAUCUCCCCUAUUUUUGUGGCACAACCUUUCUUUGUGGGGCACAUACCCCUCUACUGUUACAUGUGCACAUACUAGUUUGUUUUCUCUUGACUUUGUAUCUGAGACAGAUUAGAGUAAAAUACACACAGACUAAUGACACACAGUAUUGAUCUUUCCAUCCCCAUGAUGUCAUGUUUAAAAGUGAUUACUUACAUGGCUAGGAUUCUGUCUACUAUUAAAAACAGCAACCUUGGUCUAGUGGUGCUGUAACAUCCUGAGAGCUGUAAUGAUGAGGCCAUGUAAGUGUUUUAGAAUAUUAAAACUGUUAAAACCAAGACUGGUUACAUUACACUAUAACUUGGACUUUGCACACUGUAAAAUGGUUUGCUCUACAAAGUGCUGCUUUAGAAAAUAAUUCAAGUUAAAUAAAACAAAUACAUGUCUUUUAAAUUGCCUGAAAUAUCCACGGUCUUGGGUGGGUUUGAGUGGUUAAAGCAAGUUAUCUUGAGACAACCACAACCACAACUUUGAGGAUGUGGUAAACUGGGCUUCAUUACUGAACACCAUACUGAUUCACCAGCAGUGCCCGGGUAGGUUUUACACAGCAGAAAACAUAUAAAAAUGACUCCCAAGCAAGCAGUGGUUCCUAUGAGAACUGAUAUAACUGUUUUGGGGGUCCCCCAAGUGGCUCACCUGGUGAGUCAUACA